AUCUAUCUCCUCCCUUCAAAGUAUAUUUUGCACACAUCUUCCAGGGCACGUUUGACUUCUUAAUAAUUCCCAGCAGAGCUUCAUCCCAAUAGGAAACUCUGGCCAUGAAACUUCAACAAACACAUCCAAAAAAUAUGCCCCUUGGUGAUUCUUCUAUUGGGUAUGAGACUGAGGGAGGGACUGGUACUCGUGGCCAGGGGCACUGAGGGGCAGUGUUUUAGAACCAUGCAAAGAUGAUUCUUAGAGCUUGCAGGAGAGAAGAUACUGAACCAUCCAAGCCUCAGAUGCAUGUCUGCCUUAAAGGAGAACAGCCCUCCAUAAGCAUUGGCUCCAAAGAGAUGAGACGGAAUUUUCCACUUGAACCUAGAAUGGCAAGAAGAGGAGCCUGAGCUUCAGGGAAACUAAACAGGCUGCGUCCUACUCAUAGAAGCCACUGGAGGUAAGAGCCCUGGGCUGUCAUCUAAGGUGCCAAAAGUCGAGAGUGUUUCAACCUGGUGGCUCUUUCUUUACACGUGGAAAUUUCUAAUUCUUUGGAUGUUAUCGCUACCCACAACCAACCAGAGACCUUCUUCUUUCCACACUCUGUUAAGAAUCUUCCUUAUGUAUAUAUUAUUUUACUUUUCUGCUUCAGUAAACAUAAUAAGUAACAAUAAUAAUAGUAUUUAUUGAGAACUUUCU
RNAcentral lists this long non-coding RNA (678 nucleotides) under Ictidomys tridecemlineatus (thirteen-lined ground squirrel). RNAcentral's name for it is "lncRNA (ENSSTOG00000032060.1)". The record is from RNAcentral. Lineage: Eukaryota; Metazoa; Chordata; Mammalia; Rodentia; Sciuridae.